Molecule: long non-coding RNA, 795 nt
Organism: Hibiscus syriacus
Lineage: Eukaryota; Viridiplantae; Streptophyta; Magnoliopsida; Malvales; Malvaceae
Exons: 3
Source: RefSeq, a predicted model, not a curated record
UUCUCAAAACCCUUGAUUCCUCAAUUAGUUAUGGCCGCCAUGAAUCACCAUUCGACCAUCCAUUCAUGGGUCAAAUAUUUCUGAUUCGAUUGAGCUCCAUGACCGCUAGGACCAACGCUCUUCUGUGCUAUCUAUUUGUCCACUCUAUCGUGUAUUUUUCCAAAGUCGCGCAGUUUGGAGCCUCAAGCAUUGUGUUGCUAUCGCUACCUUACUCCGACCAUUUUUCUGAUUAAUCAAGCGUAUUUCUUUGGAGGAGGUAUGAAACAAAUGCAAGAGUCAGAAGAAAUGUCAAGUUAACUCUUAAUCAAGGAUCUCGGGCUUUUGUCGCAAGCCGAUAUGCUAUGCGCAAGGAUGAUGAAGAACCAAAUAGGAUGGAUUUCUUCAAGGUAGCUCAUUAUUUAAAUGACAGAGGAUGGACAACAUCUGAGGCACAAGCAAAAUAUUUAAGACCUCGCAAAAUUAAAGUAUUAAAUUGUAAUUUUUUAUCUAAGGAUUAUUUUAUUUAUGAAUGACUUUUUUAAGAGAAAAUGGUGGAGUUGAAAUCAACUCCAGUUGAAGGAGCAAAGCCUAAGAAUACCAAUGAUAUAGUAGAUGACGUACUUGGUACGAGACCAAGAUACAUUCCGAGGCUUGGAUAUGGGCCAAAGCCUAAGAAAACAAAUUCAAGUGUAGAUACAAUCGAGUUAAAAAAGUAUUUGAAGAAUAAAGAAGAUGAACUUAAUGAUUGUAAGUCAAAUUUUGAAUUUAUUCAAACUCAAAUGGAAGCUAUGAGUUCUGCUUUGUUAGGUGUUGGAA